CGUAGGCGGUAAUUUAAGUCGGAUGUGAAAGCCCUGGGCUCAACCUGGGAACUGCACUCGAUACUGGGUAACUAGAGUACGAGAGAGGGAGGUAGAAUUCCACGUGUAGCGGUGAAAUGCGUAGAUAUGUGGAGGAAUACCGGUGGCGAAGGCGGCCUCCUGGCUCGAUACUGACGCUGAGGUGCGAAAGCGUGGGGAGCAAACA
RNAcentral lists this ribosomal RNA (205 nucleotides) under uncultured bacterium. Its description in RNAcentral is "partial 16S ribosomal RNA". It matches the Rfam family "Bacterial small subunit ribosomal RNA", at positions 570 to 774 of the family's 1533-position model. The record is from RNAcentral.